CAGGCCUAACACAUGCAAGUCGAGCGCACACUUCGGUGCCAGCGGCAGACGGGUGAGUAACACGUGGGAAUCUACCUUUUGCUUCGGAACAACUCCGGGAAACUGGAGCUAAUACCGGAUACGCCCUUUUCGGGGAAAGAUUUAUCGGCGAGAGAUGAGCCCGCGUCGGAUUAGCUAGUUGGUGGGGUAAAGGCCUACCAAGGCGACGAUCCGUAGCUGGUCUGAGAGGAUGAUCAGCCACACUGGGACUGAGACACGGCCCAGACUCCUACGGGAGGCAGCAGUGGGGAAUAUUGGACAAUGGGGGCAACCCUGAUCCAGCCAUGCCGCGUGAGUGAUGAACGCCCUAGGGUUGUACAGCUCUUUCACCGGUGAAGAUAAUGACGGUAACCGGAGAAGAAGCCCCGGCUAACUUCGUGCCAGCAGCCGCGGUAAU
Molecule: ribosomal RNA, 436 nt
Filed under: uncultured bacterium
Lineage: Bacteria
Description: bacterial SSU rRNA
Rfam family: Bacterial small subunit ribosomal RNA
Source: RNAcentral